RNAcentral lists this long non-coding RNA (211 nucleotides) under Gossypium raimondii (Peruvian cotton). RNAcentral describes it as "long non-coding RNA (GRAI_LNC008190)". Lineage: Eukaryota; Viridiplantae; Streptophyta; Magnoliopsida; Malvales; Malvaceae. The record is from RNAcentral.
UUGGCUGAGAGAGUUUGGAUGGACUUGAAAUUCUGAGUUGGUUGGGUUGUUAGUAGAUGUAGUGGGAUUGUGUCAAAAUUAAUCAAUUUUAUCUUUAUCUUUUUUUUAUUUUUUUAUUUUUCAAUUUUCUCUCUUCCCAAAAUACUUUUUGAUGUUUCUUCUCCAAAUUCCUCUUCCAAACGUUUUCUUUUUUAUUUCUUCUUUCUUUGAU